AGUGAACGCUGGCGGUAGGCCUAACACAUGCAAGUCGAACGGCAGCACAGGAGAGCUUGCUCUCUGGGUGGUGAGUGGCGGACGGGUGAGGAAUACAUCGGAAUCUACUUUUUCGUGGGGGAUAACGUAGGGAAACUUACGCUAAUACCGCAUACGACCUACGGGUGAAAGCAGGGGAUCUUCGGACCUUGCGCGAUUGAAUGAGCCGAUGUCGGAUUAGCUAGUUGGCGGGGUAAAGGCCCACCAAGGCGACGAUCCGUAGCUGGUCUGAGCGGAGGAUCAGCCACAAUGGAACUGAGACACGGUCCAGACUCCGACGGGAGGCAGCAGUGGGGAAUAUUGGACAAUGGGCGCAAGCCUGAUCCAGCCAUACCGCGUGGGUGAAGAAGGCCGUCGGGUUGUAAAGCCCUUUUGUUGGGAAAGAAAUCCAGCUGGUUAAUACCCGGUUGGGAUGACGGUACCCAAAGAAUAAGCACCGGCUAACUUCGUGCCAGCCGCCGCCGUAA
RNAcentral lists this ribosomal RNA (506 nucleotides) under uncultured bacterium. RNAcentral's name for it is "partial 16S ribosomal RNA". It matches the Rfam family "Bacterial small subunit ribosomal RNA", at positions 29 to 523 of the family's 1533-position model. The record is from RNAcentral.